CUGCCAGUUAGAUAAAAUCUGCUCAACUUUUUUAAGUGUUUUGCAGAGAUUUAAAAAUAUUGCUGGCAAUAACAAAGCCAGGGCACGAGCCUUGAAGACUUAAAUAGUCGUUGAGGUCCCAAUAAAUGGCUACAUUU
Rhineura floridana is the source of this 137-nucleotide small nucleolar RNA. RefSeq annotates it as small nucleolar RNA SNORA33. The record is from RefSeq and is a predicted model, not a curated record. The transcript has a single exon. NCBI's taxonomy places the organism in Eukaryota, Metazoa, Chordata, Lepidosauria, Squamata, Rhineuridae.